GAUGAAGAACGUAGCGAAAUGCGAUACGUAAUGUGAAUUGCAAAUUCAGUGAAUCAUCGAGUCUUUGAACGCACAUUGCGCCCCCUGGUAUUCCGGGGGGCAUGCCUGUCCGAGCGUCAUUGCUGCCCUCAAGCACGGCUUGUGUGUUGGGCCCCGUCCUCCGAUCCCGGGGGACGGGCCCGAAAGGCAGCGGCGGCACCGCGUCCGGUCCUCGAGCGUAUGGGGCUUUGUCACCCGCUCUGUAGGCCCGGCCGGCGCUUGCCGAUCAACCCACAUUUUUAUCCAGGUUGACCUCGGAUCAGGUAGGGAUACCCGCUGAACUUAAGCAUAUCAAUAAGCGGAGGA
Molecule: unclassified non-coding RNA, 345 nt
Filed under: soil metagenome
Description: partial contains 5.8S ribosomal RNA, internal transcribed spacer 2, and large subunit ribosomal RNA
Rfam family: 5.8S ribosomal RNA (bases 1-119)
Source: RNAcentral